AUUAUAAUAUGAGGUAAAAAAAUUAAUGCUUAACUUACCUGAUCCUCAAACAUUGAGUCAAGCAAUUGACUUUGCUGUGAAGUACGACAAUCGCCUUUUUGAAUUUCGAUCUGAGAACCAUACAAGUGGACCUCAACGUUACUAUAAUUCAAUGGCAACACCAACACCUCUUCAACGCAUACAUUCGGAAGUAAAGGAUAUGCAAAUUGAUUCAGUACAUUUCAAAGUCUGAUUGAGCAAGAAAAGACUCG
RNAcentral lists this long non-coding RNA (251 nucleotides) under Physcomitrium patens. Its description in RNAcentral is "long non-coding RNA (PPAT_LNC001487)". The record is from RNAcentral. Lineage: Eukaryota; Viridiplantae; Streptophyta; Bryopsida; Funariales; Funariaceae.